AGGAAGAUGAGCAGGGGAGGAAGAAGAGGCUGCAGCAGUGGCUGAGGCUGCGACUGCAGCAGUGCAGCUGGGAAAGAAGAGAAGGAAAGGAAGAAGAAGAGAAAGGAAAAGGGAAGAAGAGAGGAAGAGGAGAAGGGGAGGCAGCUGCGGCAGUGGCAGUUGCAGCUGGAAGAGAAGGAGAGGAAACAUAGCAGGGGAGGAAGAAGAGGCUGCGGCUGUGGUGGCUGCGACUGCAGCUGCGGCUUCGACGUUGGCUGCGGUAGCUGGGGCAGCGGUGGUGGCUGCAGCAGCUGCUUUUGGGAAAGAGAAAGAAAGGAAAGGGAAAGAAGAAGAGGUUACGGUUGCGAUGGUGGCGGCUACGUCUGCGGCAGUUGUGUUUGGGAAAGAAAAAAGUAGAAACGAGAGAAGGGAGGAAGGAAGUAGUACAGUGGAAGGGGC
This 438-nucleotide long non-coding RNA is filed under the name Musa acuminata (dwarf banana). RNAcentral describes it as "long non-coding RNA (MACU_LNC000516)". Lineage: Eukaryota; Viridiplantae; Streptophyta; Magnoliopsida; Zingiberales; Musaceae. The record is from RNAcentral.